UACGGGGGGGGCAAGCGUUGUUCGGAAUUACUGGGCGUAAAGGGCUCGUAGGUGGCCAACUAAGUCAGACGUGAAAUCCCUCAGCUUAACUGGGGAACUGCGUCUGAUACUGGAUGGCUUGAGAUUGGGAGAGGGAUGCGGAAUUCCAGGUGUAGCGGUGAAAUGCGUAGAGAUCGGGAGGAACAUCAGUUGCGAAGGCGGCUCUCUGGACCAGUACUGACGCUGAGGCACGAAAGCGUGGGGAGCAAACAGG
Molecule: ribosomal RNA, 253 nt
Filed under: uncultured bacterium
Lineage: Bacteria
Description: partial 16S ribosomal RNA
Rfam family: Bacterial small subunit ribosomal RNA
Source: RNAcentral